UACGUAGGGGGCUAGCGUUGUCCGGAUUUAUUGGGCGUAAAGAGCGUGUAGGCGGCCAGGUAGGUCUGCUGUGAAACUCGAGGCUCAACCUCGAGAUGUCGGCGGAAACCAUCUGGCUAGAGUCCGGAAGAGGAAAGUGGAAUUCCUGGGUGUAGCGGUGAAAUGCGCAGAUAUCAGGAAGAACACCCGUGGCGAAGGCGGCUUUCUGGGACGGUACUGACGCUGAGACGCGAAAGCGUGGGGAGCGAACAGG
Molecule: ribosomal RNA, 253 nt
Filed under: uncultured bacterium
Lineage: Bacteria
Description: partial 16S ribosomal RNA
Rfam family: Bacterial small subunit ribosomal RNA
Source: RNAcentral